UACGUAGGUGGCAAGCGUUGUCCGGAUUUAUUGGGUUUAAAGGGUGCGUAGGCGGUCCUAUAAGUCAGUGCUGAAAUCUCCCGGCUUAACCGGGAGGGUGGCAUUGAUACUGUAGGACUUGAGUAAAGUUGAGGUUGGCGGAAUUGACGGUGUAGCGGUGAAAUGCUUAGAUAUCGUCAAGAACACCUAUUGCGAAGGCAGCUAACUAAGCUUUAACUGACGCUGAGGCACGAAAGUGUGGGGAGCAAACAGG
This 253-nucleotide ribosomal RNA is filed under the name uncultured bacterium. RNAcentral's name for it is "partial 16S ribosomal RNA". It matches the Rfam family "Bacterial small subunit ribosomal RNA", at positions 524 to 776 of the family's 1533-position model. The record is from RNAcentral.